RNAcentral lists this ribosomal RNA (253 nucleotides) under uncultured bacterium. RNAcentral's name for it is "partial 16S ribosomal RNA". It matches the Rfam family "Bacterial small subunit ribosomal RNA", at positions 524 to 776 of the family's 1533-position model. The record is from RNAcentral.
UACAGAGGGGGCAAGCGUUGUUCGGAAUUACUGGGCGUAAAGGGCGCGUAGGCGGCCUUCUAAGUCGAACGUGAAAUCCCCGGGCUCAACCCGGGAACUGCGUCCGAUACUGGAAGGCUUGAAUCCGGGAGAGGGAUGCGGAAUUCCAGGUGUAGCGGUGAAAUGCGUAGAUAUCUGGAGGAACACCGGUGGCGAAGGCAGCUCGCUGGGACGUUACUGACGCUGAGACGCGAAAGCGUGGGGAGCAAACAGG